UUACGUAUUAGAUGAUGGAGAUUUAGAUUGAGACCCUUCUAUUUAAUACAAACUUGUUGUGUUUAUCGGUGAUUAAAGUUUGAAUCUGCAAUUGACUCUUUCUUGUCAACAUAUUUAUCUAUAAUAUUCUUAGCCUGGCACACACCCCCUCCAAGUAUAUUUUUGUUUAUCUCUAUCUACAAUUGACUCUUUCCUGUCAACAUAUUUAUCUAUAAUAUUUUUAGCCUGGCACACACCUCCUUCGAUUAUAUUUUUGUUAAUCUCAAUCUCCAACUUAAGUGGCUUAUUGUGGCCAUGAACCUGGGCAUACAAAUCUGUGAAACUUCCCUUAAAUAGAUAAAGAAACACCCCAACUGAAUGAUAGUCUCUAGCAUGAUUGUGGAUGCUAGUUUUCUCUAUUUUCCUGCUCUUUCCCAUAUCAUCUGAACAUGAAAGUACAACCAUACGUUAUCUUGUGCAAAGUUUUGCUCUUUUAUCAUUCUGGUCUUGGUUGAAGGCAAUAUUUUGUUUUUUGUUUUUGGCAAAGCUCGAUUUUGAGAUUUUUACCUAUCAAGUAGCCAAUGUAGGACUUGGCACCGAUUACUAUCUUUAUAACCUACCCACUGUAUGUGAUUUAUUCAUAUUUCCAGUGUGGGCCUGGAGUGUUACAUACUCCUCUUAUAGCAUCGAUGACUAUCUUUAUAACCUACGCACUCUGUGAUUAUCCGUAUAUCCAAUGUGCUGGAGAGUUACAAAUUCCUCCCCUUUAGACUCCUGGCAUCCUCAUCAAGGCCAUGUCAUGCAGUACUUCAUUAUUAUAUGGCUGGCUGUACUAGGUGGCUCUGAUAUCAUAUGUAACAAUCUAGGGAAAACAAUAGCCACAUCUGCACUGUACGCCAUUAAGACUAGAUAGUUUGAAGUGUCUCCAAUAUCACUUAUAAAGCCCAGUUUCACCUAAUAGGUUACUAAUUUGGGAGUUAACACCCAUAACUAUCUUUAUGUGAUGGCCAUUGCUUGUCACAAAAAUAAAAUGCCGAUUUGACGGUGAUGAGUGGGGAUGGGAUCAUCUAUAGAAGGAUGCAUAUUGUCUUAUAGAGAAGGAGGAUCUGAAAACUGUAGCAUUUGGGUUGCAAUGGAAAUUCGUGGAGCAAUUAACUUAUCAUGUUGUUGGAACUGAAAAAGUGGUUUGUAGCAUGCAAAUGUUGCUUAAACACCUACGCCUUGUACUACAUGAUGGUAAUUAUCAAAUUUCAAAAGUAGAGACACUAAUAAAUAAGGUUUAUGAAAAUCAUAAUGAUUGUAAUGACAUCACUCGCUUCAAUGAGAGUAUGUAUAUUAACAUUAGAUAUCAUGGGGU
Long non-coding RNA from Juglans microcarpa x Juglans regia, 1336 nucleotides. RefSeq lists it as uncharacterized. The record is from RefSeq and is a predicted model, not a curated record. The transcript has 2 exons. Lineage: Eukaryota; Viridiplantae; Streptophyta; Magnoliopsida; Fagales; Juglandaceae.